This 497-nucleotide ribosomal RNA is filed under the name uncultured bacterium. Its description in RNAcentral is "partial 16S ribosomal RNA". It matches the Rfam family "Bacterial small subunit ribosomal RNA", at positions 28 to 507 of the family's 1533-position model. The record is from RNAcentral.
GAUGAACGCUGGCGGCAUGCCUAAUACAUGCAAGUCGAGCGAACAGAUGAGGAGCUUGCUCCUCUGACGUUAGCGGCGGACGGGUGAGUAACACGUGGAUAACCUACCUAUAAGACUGGGAUAACUUCGGGAAACCGGAGCUAAUACCGGAUAAUAUAUUGAACCGCAUGGUUCAAUAGUGAAAGACGGUUUUGCUGUCACUUAUAGAUGGAUCCGCGCCGCAUUAGCUAGUUGGUAAGGUAACGGCUUACCAAGGCAACGAUGCGUAGCCGACCUGAGAGGGUGAUCGGCCACACUGGAACUGAGACACGGUCCAGACUCCUACGGGAGGCAGCAGUAGGGAAUCUUCCGCAAUGGGCGAAAGCCUGACGGGGCAACGCCGCGUGAGUGAUGAAGGUCUUCGGAUCGUAAAACUCUGUUAUUAGGGAAGAACAAAUGUGUAAGUAACUAUGCACGUCUUGACGGUACCUAAUCAGAAAGCCACGGCUAACUACGUG